Molecule: microRNA precursor, 235 nt
Filed under: Medicago truncatula (barrel medic)
Lineage: Eukaryota; Viridiplantae; Streptophyta; Magnoliopsida; Fabales; Fabaceae
Description: MIR2619 microRNA precursor family
Rfam family: MIR2619 microRNA precursor family
Source: Rfam by way of RNAcentral
AAACAGCCCCAUAUGUUUUGAUUAUUUGGCAGUUUUGGACCCCCCAAGGUAAAAAAAAAAAAAAUGACACGUGGCACCUCACUUAGGGUGCCACGUCAGCGUUGACCGAGUCAACAAUGGACUGGGGGUCCAAAACUGCCAAAGAAUCNCUUAGGGUGCCACGUCAGCGUUGACCGAGUCAACAAUGGACUGGGGGUCCAAAACUGCCAAAGAAUCAAAACAUAGGGGGCUGUUU